CCUACGGGAGGCUGCAGUGGGGAAUAUUGGACAAUGGGCGAAAGCCUGAUCCAGCCAUGCCGCGUGUGUGAAGAAGGCCUUCGGGUUGUAAAGCACUUUCAGUGGGGAAGAAAGCCUUGGGGCUAAUACCCUCGAGGAAGGACAUCACCCACAGAAGAAGCACCGGCUAACUCCGUGCCAGCAGCCGCGGUAAUACGGAGGGUGCGAGCGUUAAUCGGAAUUACUGGGCGUAAAGCGCGCGUAGGCGGUCUGAUAAGCCGGUUGUGAAAGCCCCGGGCUCAACCUGGGAACGGCAUCCGGAACUGCCAGGCUAGAGUGCAGGAGAGGAAGGUAGAAUUCCCGGUGUAGCGGUGAAAUGCGUAGAGAUCGGGAGGAAUACCAGUGGCGAAGGCGGCCUUCUGGACUGACACUGACGCUGAGGUGCGAAAGCGUGGGUAGCAAACAGGAUUAGAUACCCUGGUAGUC
Molecule: ribosomal RNA, 465 nt
Filed under: Vreelandella stevensii
Lineage: Bacteria; Pseudomonadati; Pseudomonadota; Gammaproteobacteria; Oceanospirillales; Halomonadaceae
Description: partial 16S ribosomal RNA
Rfam family: Bacterial small subunit ribosomal RNA
Source: RNAcentral